GAUGAAUAACGUAGCGAAAUGCGAUAAGUAAUGUGAAUUGCAGAAUUCAGUGAAUCAUCGAAUCUUUGAACGCACAUUGCGCCCGCCAGUAUUCUGGCGGGCAUGCCUGUUCGAGCGUCAUUUCAACCAUCAAGCCCCCGGCUUGUGUUGGGGACCUGCGGCUGCCGCAGGCCCUGAAAACCAGUGGCGGGCUCGCUGUCACACCGAGCGUAGUAGAUUUUCAUCUCGCUCAGGGCGUGCUGCGGGUUCCGGCCGUAAAAAGCCUUAUUUACCCAAGGUUGACCUCGGAUCAGGUAGGAAGACCCGCUGAACUUAAGCAUAUCAAUAAGCGGAGGA
RNAcentral lists this unclassified non-coding RNA (336 nucleotides) under soil metagenome. RNAcentral's name for it is "partial contains 5.8S ribosomal RNA, internal transcribed spacer 2, and large subunit ribosomal RNA". The stretch from base 1 to 120 matches the Rfam family "5.8S ribosomal RNA", at positions 35 to 154 of the family's 154-position model. The record is from RNAcentral.